GCGCACCACAUCCACGGUGCGCCAUUAGUAAAAAAAAAUUAAUUUUUUUUUCAAAACUACUAAUGGCGCACCAUGGGUGUGGUGCGC
Molecule: microRNA precursor, 87 nt
Filed under: Triticum urartu
Lineage: Eukaryota; Viridiplantae; Streptophyta; Magnoliopsida; Poales; Poaceae
Description: mir-160 microRNA precursor family
Source: Rfam by way of RNAcentral